GACGAACGCUGGCGGCGUGCUUAACACAUGCAAGUCGAACGGAAAGGCCCUGCUUUUGUGGGGUGCUCGAGUGGCGAACGGGUGAGUAACACGUGAGUAACCUGCCCUUGACUUUGGGAUAACUUCAGGAAACUGAGGCUAAUACCGGAUAGGAGCUCCUGCUGCAUGGUGGGGGUUGGAAAGUUUCGGCGGUUGGGGAUGGACUCGCGGCUUAUCAGCUUGUUGGUGGGGUAGUGGCUUACCAAGGCUUUGACGGGUAGCCGGCCUGAGAGGGUGACCGGCCACAUUGGGACUGAGAUACGGCCCAGACUCCUACGGGAGGCAGCAGUGGGGAAUAUUGCACAAUGGGCGGAAGCCUGAUGCAGCAACGCCGCGUGCGGGAUGACGGCCUUCGGGUUGUAAACCGCUUUCGCCUGUGACGAAGCGUGAGUGACGGUAAUGGGUAAAGAAGCACCGGCUAACUACGUGCCAGCAGCCGCGGUGAUACGUAGGGUGCGAGCGUUGUCCGGAUUUAUUGGGCGUAAAGGGCUCGUAGGUGGUUGAUCGCGUCGGAAGUGUAAUCUUGGGGCUUAACCCUGAGCGUGCUUUCGAUACGGGUUGACUUGAGGAAGGUAGGGGGAGAAUGGAAUUCCUGGUGGAGCGGUGGAAUGCGCAGAUAUCAGGAGGAACACCAGUGGCGAAGGCGGUUCUCUGGGCCUUUCCUGACGCUGAGGAGCGAAAGCGUGGGGAGCGAACAGGCUUAGAUACCCUGGUAGUCCACGCUGUAAACGGUGGGUACUAGGUGUGGGGUCCAUUCCACGGGUUCCGUGCCGUAGCUAACGCUUUAAGUACCCCGCCUGGGGAGUACGGCCGCAAGGCUAAAACUCAAAGGAAUUGACGGGGCCCUGCACAAGCGGCGGAGCAUGCGGAUUAAUUCGAUGCAACGCGUAGAACCUUACCUGGGUUUGACAUGGAUCGGGAGUGCUCAGAGAUGGGUGUGCCUCUUUUGGGGUCGGUUCACAGGUGGUGCAUGGCUGUCGUCAGCUCGUGUCGUGAGAUGUUGGGCUAAGUCCCGCAACGAGCGCAACCCUUGUUCACUGUUGCCAGCACGUUAUGGUGGGGACUCAGUGGAGACCGCCGGGGUCAACUCGGAGGAAGGUGGGGAUGACGUCAAGUCAUCAUGCCCCUUAUGUCCAGGGCUUCACGCAUGCUACAAUGGCUGGUACAGAGAGUGGCGAGCCUGUGAGGGUGAGCGAAUCUCGGAAAGCCGGUCUCAGUUCGGAUUGGGGUCUGCAACUCGACCUCAUGAAGUCGGAGUCGCUAGUAAUCGCAGAUCAGCAACGCUGCGGUGAAAACGUUCCCGGGGCU
This 1347-nucleotide ribosomal RNA is filed under the name uncultured bacterium. RNAcentral describes it as "partial 16S ribosomal RNA". It matches the Rfam family "Bacterial small subunit ribosomal RNA", at positions 28 to 1381 of the family's 1533-position model. The record is from RNAcentral.